Molecule: small nuclear RNA, 129 nt
Filed under: Suricata suricatta (meerkat)
Lineage: Eukaryota; Metazoa; Chordata; Mammalia; Carnivora; Herpestidae
Description: U2 spliceosomal RNA (ENSSSUG00005004375.1)
Rfam family: U2 spliceosomal RNA
About the family: U2 is a small nuclear RNA (snRNA) component of the spliceosome (involved in pre-mRNA splicing).
Source: Rfam by way of RNAcentral
AUCGCUUCUCGGCCUUUUGGCUAAGAUCAAGUGUAGUAUCUGUUCUUAUCAGUUUAAUAUCAGGGUUCAUAAGUUCCAGCCCUGCAUCGGGCUCCGUGCUGACAAUGCAGAGCCUGCUUGGGAUUCUCU